Molecule: long non-coding RNA, 740 nt
Filed under: Citrus x clementina
Lineage: Eukaryota; Viridiplantae; Streptophyta; Magnoliopsida; Sapindales; Rutaceae
Description: Citrus clementina (C. clementina) long non-coding RNA (CCLE_LNC001414)
Source: RNAcentral
UAUAUAUAUUUUAAAGGAUUGAUUAUGAAUUAAGUAAUUUGCUGGAAAAAAAAAAUAUAUGUGUUUAAUUUUCAAUUGUUUUUAAUUGUAAUUUUAUUUAAAGUGGGGUUUUGUAAGAAUAAUGUAGGGGUGCCAAUAGCUCCACUCUUAUUUUAUUUAUAUUUACAAGGUUAGAAGAAUAGAACGGUGGGCCUCUUAAAUUUGAGGAAUCAUGCACUUCCAUUUUGGGCGUUUAUUAGUUUAAAAUUUGUAGCCCAUGGAGAUAAUUUUAUGGGCUCUUGGGCCACUUAUGAAUUUAAUAAAAGAGCAUGUAAAUUAAUUGAGUUAUCAUAAACCAUAACUUAUGGGUUUGCUGUAUGUUAUAUUAUAUGUAAUUUAAUCUGGAACUUAGAACGAAUAUGAAGAAAUUAAUGAUACUUCUUUAUUUUUAAAGUUGUUCUCAAUAAAAUACAAAUGGUACAAAUAUCCAACGAGGAGGAUACAACUCAUGAGUUUUUGUAGUGCAACUAAGCAGUGAUAUGGAAACUAAGUUUACCAUUCUUUAUCUUAAUAGACGUCAUAGUGAGGAUAUGGCAUUGGAUCAACUGUGUUGUCCAGAAGAGAGGAAAUCAAGAUAAUGAAGAGUGACGCCUAACCGCCCAGGAUCUUGACAGAGGGGCAACCGAUCACAUCACAAACUUAUCGUGCAUAUCAUUCAUCAUACAAUGAUUUUGAUCGAGGACAAUUAUCUACCGACUCUU